UUACCAUUUCCUCAAAGCCCCUAUCCCAAAAAUAGCUGUAAAUUAACACGGUGGAGUAAAUAUGUUGGGACAAAUAUUGCAUGAAACCAAAAAAAUUCAUAAUUUACCAUAAAAAUUCUUUUAAAAAAAAUCUGAGACCUUAAUUUUUUCGACAAUCCAAACACAACAGAGACAGAAGUAAUGUUUUAGUAUGGGCAUUUUUGUUGUUAGCAACGCUUUGUCAUGUAAACUUUUGCUACAAUGAUCUUCAUGGAUGUGUGAAACAGAGGCUGAUUUGGUAAACCUUUUUCAGGUAUCCCACGCCUCU
This is a long non-coding RNA of Arabidopsis thaliana (thale cress), 307 nucleotides long. RefSeq annotates it as other RNA. The record is from RefSeq. Lineage: Eukaryota; Viridiplantae; Streptophyta; Magnoliopsida; Brassicales; Brassicaceae. The transcript has a single exon.